This 618-nucleotide ribosomal RNA is filed under the name Scydmaeninae sp. BMNH 1274313. Its description in RNAcentral is "Scydmaenidae sp. BMNH 1274313 16S ribosomal RNA". It matches the Rfam family "Bacterial large subunit ribosomal RNA", at positions 1770 to 2700 of the family's 2925-position model. Lineage: Eukaryota; Metazoa; Arthropoda; Insecta; Coleoptera; Staphylinidae. The record is from RNAcentral.
AAAAAGGAAUUAGACAAAUAGGUUUUUCACCUGUUUAUUAAAAACAUGUCUUUUUGAUGAUAAUAAAAAGUCUGAUCUGCCCACUGAUUAGGAUUAAAUGGCUGCAGUAUUUUGACUGUACAAAGGUAGCAUAGUAAAUAGUUUUUUAAUUGAAAACUUGAAUGAAAGAUUUGAUGAAAAAAUAAUUGUCUCUUUAAUUAAAAAAAAAAUUUAUUUUUAAGUGAAAAAGCUUAAAUAAUUUUUAAAGACGAUAAGACCCUAUAGAGUUUAAUUUAUAUAGAGGUAUUUAAUGGUUUUAUAUAAAUUUAAUUGGGGAGAUUAAAAAAUUUUAUUAACUUUUUUUUAUUAAAAUUCAUUGGUAUAUGUUUAUUUAUUGAUCCAUAAAUUAUGAUUAAAAGAUUAAAUUACCUUAGGGAUAACAGCAUAAUUUUUUUUAAAGUUCUUAUUAAAAAAAAAGUUUGUGACCUCGAUGUUGGAUUAAAUUAUUUAUUUGGUGAAGAUUUUAAAUAAAUAAGUCUGUUCGACUUUUAAAAAUUUACAUGAUCUGAGUUUAAACCGGUGUAAGCCAGGUUGGUUUCUAUCUUAAAUAAGCUUUAAUAAAUUAGUACGAAAGGAAUA